AACGCGAAGAACCUUACCAACACUUGACAUGUUCGUCGCGACUCUAAGAGAUUAGAGUUUUCGGUUCGGCCGGACGAAACACAGGUGCUGCAUGGCUGUCGUCAGCUCGUGUCGUGAGAUGUUGGGUUAAGUCCCGCAACGAGCGCAACCCUCACUUUUAGUUGCCAUCAUUAAGUUGGGCACUCUGAAAGAACUGCCAGUGAUAAGCUGGAGGAAGGUGGGGAUGACGUCAAGUCCUCAUGGCCCUUACGUGUUGGGCUACACACGUGCUACAAUGGUAUCUACAACAGGAAGCAAGACUGCGAAGUUAAGCAAAUCCUUAAAAGAUACCUCAGUUCGGAUUGCACUCUGCAACUCGAGUGCAUGAAGCUGGAAUUACUAGUAAUCGUGGAUCAGCGUGCCACGGUGAAUGCGUUCCCGGGUCUUGUACACACCGA
RNAcentral lists this ribosomal RNA (437 nucleotides) under uncultured eubacterium SW9. RNAcentral describes it as "bacterial SSU rRNA". It matches the Rfam family "Bacterial small subunit ribosomal RNA", at positions 958 to 1393 of the family's 1533-position model. The record is from RNAcentral.